UUUCCGUAGGUGAACCUGCGGAAGGAUCAUUGCACACACAGAGCGGUAAACCCUGCGAACACGCCUUCGUCCUCCCGGGCUCCGCGUGCGGGCGGGGAGCGGCCCUCGCGGUCGUGCCUCGCUCGCGUGCGGGCCCCCCUCCGAGGGGCUCGACGCCUCGUCCGCUUUUCCGGCUUCCGGUGCGAGUUCGGCCCUUUCGCGGGCCAGUUCGCCGGCGGGCGGAGGCGGGCGCGGGUCGGGUUUUCGCCCCGCGGAUGCGCCACGCACCAUGUUCGACCGAGCGAGUCUGAGCCUUCCUUCCCCUCCCCGGGGGCGCGCGCGCCGCUGGCGGGGGGGAAGCGAACGUUGAAGAGCAACAAACAACUCUCAGCAACGGAUAUCUUGGCUCUC
RNAcentral lists this unclassified non-coding RNA (390 nucleotides) under plant metagenome. RNAcentral's name for it is "partial contains small subunit ribosomal RNA, internal transcribed spacer 1, and 5.8S ribosomal RNA". The record is from RNAcentral.